CUCUCGGCCAAAUGUAAAAGGCGGAGCUCGGAGCUGUCUCUUCCUUCCGGGCGGGAGGGUGUCUGGCGGGCGGAGUGCUGCUGUUCACGAGCUCGGACCCGGGCACGUGCUUGGACGUCCCCAGGGAUUGAGGAUUAGAACAUCCCGUGAUCUUUUUAAAACAACUGGAUUUUUAAAAAGUUAAUCACCACGUUGUCUCUUCUCACGUUAAGUCAGAAGAUUGAUCGCUUUUGAUGUCUCUAAGUGUAAAGUUAAAGCUCCCAGGAUCCACACCUUAGAUCCACGCCACAACUGUCACAUGUUCAGAAGUGAUACAGCUUCUCAAAACCACGCAAGGUAUGCAGGAGGACUGGCCGAGCUGAGUGGUGGACAGAUCAAGGCCCUGCCUGCAGCUCCCCACUGUUGGAAGCAGCUGUCUAACAGGGCAAGUGUUUGUUCCCAGAUCUGGAGCACAAUGGUUCAUGAUUCCUCGAUUAAAGUGUUUACUGAACACCCACCAUGUGCCUGGUGGUGGGCUGGGGACUAAGGAAAUGAACAAGCCUGAUCCCACCAAGUCCUCAAGGGGCUCUAGUCUGAAGCAUCAGAACACGUCUGACCAUCUGGCUCAAGUUCAACAAGAAAAGAGAUGUAACGAAACUGUGCAGCUGAGUCCGGGGUGCCACAUUCUCAGUAUCAAGACCUCAGACCGUGGUGGAAGAAUGAAAGGCAGUGAUGCCUGGUGUCCUCCAAAGGUUCUGUGACACCCUGCCUGAUGGCCAAGGGCCUGACCGUGGCUCCUCGGAUGGGUUAUAGUAAUCACACACCCAAUCAUGGAUUACUGGAGUAACUGAAAAGCACCACCAGCAGCAGCUCCUAGCCACCCCAUGGGCGGAUCCUGCAGAUGCUCUGCUGCACAGAAGGCACGGGACCCAAGUGCAAUUCCAUUGACACCAAGUUCUAGAACAGAUGGAAUAGUGUGGAUGGAGUACAUUUCCCACUAAGAACAGUUAAAAGCCCUGGACAUUGUAUAUGAAACAAACAAGAGAAAACUGUGAAAGGCAGAGAGAAGAAGACAACUGACUAAGGACCUUGGGAUCUGAGGAAUGACAGGACAAUGAGUUCUCCGUGUUGUUUUUUUGUUUGUGUGUUUGGUUUGUUUGUUUGUCUUGCCUCAUAUAUCUUAGGCUAGAGAAGCUGGCAAACUAGAAACACCACAGGAACAAAUUUUUUAAAAACCCCAAGAAAUGCCUGCUCUCACUAGCUAAAGGACUGGGAAAGGGGCAACGUAGACAACUUUUAGACCAGUAACUACCCUAUUCUAGCCAAACCCUGCAGAAAAAAAAUGUGACCUCACCCCUGUCCCAGUCAGCAAAGGCUGAAAAGAGGGACUCCCACCUUCACCCUUUUGUUAGAAGGCAUCACUCAUGACCCCUCUAACCCCUGCUGGGGUGAUGUCAGAGAAGGCCAAGUGGGGAGCCAGCACUUUCAUCCUGGCCUAGUUGACAGGUGACUAGCAAAAACAAAACAAACAAAACAACCCAACCAUGUGGAAGUGUAUUAUGCCAGGUUAAAAAAAAAAAAAAAAGCCAGUCUCAAAAGGUCAUAUACUGUAUGCUUCCAUUAUAUAACAUCCUUGAAUAACAAAACUAUAGAGAUGGAAAACAGAUAGUGGUUGCCAGGGGUUAGAGAUAGUGGGGAUGGGGGAGGGGUAGGUGUGACUAUGAAGGAAGUUCAUGAGGGAGAUCUUUGUGGUAAGGGAAUAGUUCUGUAUCUUGAUGCUGGUGAUAGUUAUGGGAAACUGCACAUGUGAUAAAGUGGCACAGAACUAUACACACAUAUUGUACCAAUACCAAUUUCCUGGUUUUGACAUUGUACUAUAGUUACAAGUUUAUAGCUUUUUUAUAAGUUACAGUUAUAAGAUGUAACCAUUGGGGGGAAAUGCGUGAAGGGUACAAAGGACUUUUCUGUACAGUUUUUACAACUUCCUAUGAAUUUAUAAUUAUUUCAAAAUAAAAAGUUAAAAAAGUUAUCCUU
Molecule: long non-coding RNA, 2013 nt
Organism: Aethalodelphis obliquidens (Pacific white-sided dolphin)
Lineage: Eukaryota; Metazoa; Chordata; Mammalia; Artiodactyla; Delphinidae
Exons: 6
Source: RefSeq, a predicted model, not a curated record